AACAGUCUGCUGUGUGCGUGAUGUGAAAAUUGGGUAAUCCACAUUAUUUUGAAGGGAGCACCGCGUAGGCAAAAAUAGGCAAGGUCUGUAAAUUUUACGGAAAGUCCGAAUAUUUUUUGCCUCGUCGCACCCACCUCGCGAGUCGCGGGUUAGUACUUUUUCACACACGGCAUAAGCGGAUUUUAU
Molecule: non-coding RNA, 186 nt
Filed under: Clostridia bacterium
Lineage: Bacteria; Bacillati; Bacillota; Clostridia
Description: 6S RNA
Rfam family: 6S / SsrS RNA
About the family: E. coli 6S RNA was the first non coding RNA to be sequenced, but its function was unknown until recently. It consists of 184 nucleotides that fold into an extended hairpin structure with a large single-stranded internal bulge.
Source: RNAcentral